This 1157-nucleotide long non-coding RNA is filed under the name Mytilus galloprovincialis (Mediterranean mussel). The record is from RNAcentral. Lineage: Eukaryota; Metazoa; Mollusca; Bivalvia; Mytilida; Mytilidae.
GAGCACCUUCAUGAUAAUAUAUCAAAGACAGGUAAGAAGUAAAUCACAAUCGACCAUGCAAGGGCUGUAUAGCUAGUCAUGGUCGUUAAAAGUUUCAUUUGUUGUAAAUUACAGGCAUGCCAAAAUGAUUUCACAUUCCUUAAACCAUCAGAGAAAUGUUAGUUCAAAUCUUUUGUUUUAGUUUGCUGUGAUUGGAAACAUGUCGCUUUGAAAAAGAUUUUACACUCAGUGAAGCUAUACAAGACCUGUUAUUGAAAUUUAAAACAAAGAUCCAUUUACAACGUACAGACCUGAUGAUAAAUCAAUAGAAUUCAUAAAUUAAUUUAUUUGUAUUUCAUGACAGGCCAAUUAGUACAAAGCGAUUUUGAAUUAGAUUAAAGAAACGACAAUUAUAAUAGAUUCUAAAUAUUAUAAAUUAAGUUUUAUAGAUAAUUGAAUUUGUUGUUGUUGAUUGACAUACAUGAAUUUUAAAUAUCUAUUGAGAAAUAUUGCAAUGUUGAAAUAAAAAAAAACAAAUAUUUGUACUUGGAAAAUCCUUUCAGCUUCCGAUAUUUGCAAAUGGCAAUACAUGUACAUACCAAUUUUACAGUGGUAGGUUGGCUGUUUAAACGAUUUGCAUACUUAACAUAUACUGUUCUUAUUUUACUGCACAACUGAUCAAUUGUAAUUUUUUAUAAAUGCAUCGUUGAACUUUUAAAAAAUCAAGAAACGGCUUUCAUUUUGAAAAGAAUUCAGAAAAAAUGUGUAAUUAAGAGACACACUAAUGGUCGUUUCAUGAAAACAAACCAUUCGCCCUCCAGAGGGGGAGUUAUGAUUUCUUUUUCAGAGACCAACUUAAACAUUGUAUCUAAAAUACAUAUUAUGAUUGAAGAAAUCACAUGUUUUAUUUAAAAAUCUCAUUGUAUAUUAUUUUUAUUUUACCAUGUUUCCCCCUAGUAUUAGAACUAACAUUUUGCAUCAUUUCAGAACUACCUAAACUACAGAUUAUAGACAAAAAUAAUACCCGAUCGUGCACACGUAAAGAAGCAGAGUCAAUGUAUUGUGUUGGCUGUUUUAAAGAACAGAAACAAGUAAUGUUUAACUGUGGUCACAAAAUGACAUGCCAAAAUUGUUCUACUUUGUAUUUUUCUUGUCCAUAUUGCCAUACUGCUGUGACA